AAACAACUCUCGGCAACGGAUAUCUCGGCUCUCGCAUCGAUGAAGAACGUAGCGAAAUGCGAUACUUGGUGUGAAUUGCAGAAUCCCGUGAACUAUCGAGUCUUUGAAAGCAAGUUGCGCCCAAAGCCAUCCGGUUAAGGGCACGUCUGCCUGGGCAUCACGCAU
RNAcentral lists this ribosomal RNA (165 nucleotides) under Phelipanche gratiosa. Its description in RNAcentral is "5.8S ribosomal RNA". It matches the Rfam family "5.8S ribosomal RNA". Rfam says of the family: 5.8S ribosomal RNA (5.8S rRNA) is a component of the large subunit of the eukaryotic ribosome. It is transcribed by RNA polymerase I as part of the 45S precursor that also contains 18S and 28S rRNA. Functionally, it is thought that 5.8S rRNA may be involved in ribosome translocation. Lineage: Eukaryota; Viridiplantae; Streptophyta; Magnoliopsida; Lamiales; Orobanchaceae. The record is from RNAcentral.